AGGGUUUGAUUAUGGCUCAGGAUGAACGCUGGCGGCGUGCCUAACACAUGCAAGUCGAACGAAGCGAUUUGGAAGAAGUUUUCGGAUGGAAUCCAAAUUGACUGAGUGGCGGACGGGUGAGUAACGCGUGGGUAACCUGCCUCACACUGGGGGACAACAGCUGGAAACGGCUGCUAAUACCGCAUAAGCGCACAGCUUCGCAUGAAGCAGUGUGAAAAACUCCGGUGGUGUGAGAUGGACCCGCGUCUGAUUAGCUAGUUGGUAAGGUAACGGCUUACCAAGGCGACGAUCAGUAGCCGACCUGAGAGGGUGACCGGCCACAUUGGGACUGAGACACGGCCCAA
RNAcentral lists this ribosomal RNA (344 nucleotides) under uncultured bacterium. Its description in RNAcentral is "bacterial SSU rRNA". It matches the Rfam family "Bacterial small subunit ribosomal RNA", at positions 8 to 334 of the family's 1533-position model. The record is from RNAcentral.